This 24-nucleotide non-coding RNA is filed under the name Arabidopsis thaliana (thale cress). The record is from RNAcentral. Lineage: Eukaryota; Viridiplantae; Streptophyta; Magnoliopsida; Brassicales; Brassicaceae.
UACCUUGUGUGGCAAUCAUUUCGU